Coturnix japonica (Japanese quail) is the source of this 506-nucleotide non-coding RNA. NCBI's taxonomy places the organism in Eukaryota, Metazoa, Chordata, Aves, Galliformes, Phasianidae. The record is from RefSeq and is a predicted model, not a curated record.
UCUAUGGGGGGGGAUUUGGCCCCAUAGGUUGAGAACAUCUUCAGUGCGUUGAGCUUGGAGGACGAGGAAGAGGAGGAGGAGGAGGAAGGAAACCGGCCCCAUAGAAAGAAGGACGAGGAAGAAGAGGAGGAAGAUGGGAGGAAGAAGAAGAACAGGAAGAAUGAAAAGAACUGCAGCAGGCGGCAGAACCAAUUUGCUGCUUUGGGCUCCGACGAAGGGGAGGAAGAAGAAGAGGAAGAAGCCGAAAAACCCGGAAGUCCCGCCCCUAAAAUAGACCCCGCCCCCGGAAGUCCCACCCCCGGAAGUCCAACCCCCAAAGAGGAAGAGGAAGUGGGGGGAAAAAAGGCCCAAAUCAGUAAAAAGGAAAGGAAAAAGAUGAAGAAACAGCUGGAUUACCAGCGCCAGGUGGCCACGAUGGCGGCGGCCGCGGCCGACAGCGACUUCGCGGUGUCUCAGGCCGACGGGUCCUCGCGGCACGCGGCGCUCGACAACGCCGCCGACAUCAA